Molecule: transfer RNA, 67 nt
Filed under: Marmota monax (woodchuck)
Lineage: Eukaryota; Metazoa; Chordata; Mammalia; Rodentia; Sciuridae
Description: tRNA.Ala
Rfam family: tRNA
About the family: Transfer RNA (tRNA) molecules are approximately 80 nucleotides in length. Their secondary structure includes four short double-helical elements and three loops (D, anti-codon, and T loops).
Source: RNAcentral
GGUUGUGGCCCAGUGGUAGAGUGCUUGCCUAGCAUGCAUGAGGAACUAGGUUCAAUUCUUGGCACCA